This is a long non-coding RNA of Chionomys nivalis (European snow vole), 1321 nucleotides long. RefSeq lists it as uncharacterized. The record is from RefSeq and is a predicted model, not a curated record. The transcript is spliced from 6 exons. Lineage: Eukaryota; Metazoa; Chordata; Mammalia; Rodentia; Cricetidae.
AGCCGGCUCCCAGCGCGCGGGAGAAGCAGAGAAAUGAGAAAAAAGAAGAAAAAAGGAAGAAAAACCGCCGCUUGUAGAGCCGCGAUUGCUGCGGGGGAAUCCUAGGCGCCGGACGCCCCCGGACCCCGAGAUCCCUCGCUGGAGACUGCAGUAAGAUUCACAGAGGGCCACAGAGGGCCCCAGUGUCCACAGACUCUGCCCAGACGGCGACCAGGACUCCACUGGGGCCUGGGCGGGGCCCAGAGAGGCAUCAGGCCCCUGACCGGACUCAGGACGCCCCUUGACCCGGAGAUCCCUCGCUGGAGGCUGCAGGAAGAUGCACAGAUCGCCCCAGUUUCCACAUACUCUGCCCAGACAGCGACCAGGACUCCACUGGUGGCCUGGGCCAUGUCCAGAGGGGCCUCAUGUACGCGCUGACGGUGCUCUGGGGGGCAGAGCUCAGUCCACGGUGUCCAGGCAGCCCCCGGAUGGACACAGGACACUCAGGAGGCCUCUGGACUCUGCCCAGACAGUGACCAGACCUCUACUAGGGGCCUGGGCCGUGCCCAGAGAGGCCUCGGGGACGAGCUGAUGCCACUGUGGGUGACAGAGCUCACGUCCAUGGUGUCCAGGCCGCCCCUGGGCCAGACGCUGACCCCACGUCUCCCCUGUGCCCUCUGCAUGCCCCUGACUGUACUCAGUUCGCCCCCGGACUCCGAGAUGCCGCUCUGGAGGCUGCAGGAAGAUUCCCAGAGGGCAACAUAGGGCACAGAGGGCCACAGUGCGCCCCAGUGUCCACAGACUCUGCCCAGACAGCGAUCAUGACUCCACCGAGGGCCUGGGCCGUCCCCAGAGAGGCUUCAGGUCUGAGCACUUGGGAAUAAACAAGCAUCCACCCAUCCAUUCCUUAGAUAAGGUCUGAGCACUUGGGAACAAACAAGCAUCCACCCAUCCAUUUCUUAGAGAAGGUAUCAGCAUCCGGGAAGAAACAAGCAGCUUCCCUACCACAUCCUUCUGGUCGUCAGAGAAGGUAAGGCAUCUUUCUUUUGGGACAGUCCAAGGACCGCUCUACUAUAUCUCGAUUGAACAAGGUGUCCAUUCAAAGCUAGUAGCUUCCAUAAAAGCAAGUACAAGCAGUAGAGAUAAAUUCUGGUGACACUGCCAGUGGCCCCUUAUUUUGCCUCGACAUACCAUUGUCAACCACAUUCUGAUGGCCUAGUUUCCUCCCUUCAGGGUGUUGCUUUCAGCCAUUUGCUAUUCCCGCGUUGAGAAAUCUGUUUUUGUGUUUCAUUUAAACUUUUGUUAUUUGACUUUGUAAUUUGCUAUUUUUAUGUCUAAUUUC